GCCCAACCCAUUUCACCUCCUCCUUCCUUCACUCGCCGUUUCGCGUAGCCUCACAAGCCUCCUCCAUUCUCUCCCUCUCUCUCCCUCUCUCUUUCUUUCUCUCUCUCUCCCUCCGAUCCCCGAAAUCUCUCGAUUUCGCUAACACAAUCUUCUUCUCCUCUACUGUUUUCCAUCAAUCUCUGGAUCUGAAUCACUCCAAUUGAUUUCUCAGCUGAUUGAUUCGUCGAUAUCCAGCUGUUGAAGCGUAACCCUAAAUCCGGAACCUCCGGUGUUCCCAGGGCACCUGCGGGGUUAAGAAUCGGGGGCUUUUGUUGUUCGGUUCGUGACUUUUGAUCUGAGGGUGGAUCUACUCUAGGGUUUCGCGCAGCCCAAAUUCUGAGCGUCUAGGGUUUUUGCGGAACCGGGGCUCGAAUUCGAUUGGAAUUGAUGUUUCUCGCCGAGGAUGACGAAGGUGUGAUCUGUGCCAUAAUCAACGGCGAUGGAGGACUAUGCAUGGGAGGAUAUGUGAGCAGAGGCAUCAGAGGCGGCACAUGUGGCCGGUCCCUGCGCCCACGACUGUAGCUGCUGAUUCUGCUUCCGUUUCGCCUGAUUUUUUCUCGAAAGAUGGACGCAAGAUUUGUAUUGGUGACUCUGCACUUUUCAAGCCGCCUCAGGAUUCUCCACCUUUCAUUGGAAUAAUUCGUAGGUUAAUAGCAGGCAAAGAAGAGGGACUUAAGUUAGGUGUGAAUUGGCUUUAUCGACCCGCUGACAUAAAGCUUGCAAAAGGCAACUUGCUGGAAGCGGCUCCAAACGAGAUCUUCUACUCCUUUCACAAGGAUGAGAUACCUGCUGCAUCGUUACUUCAUCCGUGUAAAGUCGCAUUUCUUCGUAAAGGUGUUGAACUUCCUUCAGGGAUAUCCUCAUUUGUGUGCAGAAGAGUGUAUGAUAUUGAGAACAAAUGUUUAUGGUGGCUAACUGACCAGGAUUAUAUUAAUUUAUCUUUUCAAACACAGGAACGACAGGAAGAAGUAGAUCAGCUAUUAGACAAGACGCGGCAAGAAAUGCAUGGGGCAGUGCAGUCGGGUGGCCGUUCUCCAAAACCUUUGAAUGGUCCGACAUCUACACCACAGCUGAAGCCUAGUGCAGAUAGUGUGCAGAAUACUUCCUCCCCCAUUUCUUCUCAGGCUAAGGGAAAGAAGAGGGAGCGGGUUGAUCAGUGCUCUGAUCCCGUUAAACGGGAGCGAUUAUCUAAAAUAGAUGAUGGGGAUUCUGGUCAAUUUAGACCAGACAGCAUGUUAAAGUCUGAGAUUGCUAAAAUAACAGAGAAAGGAGGGCUUGUGGACCUUGAAGGAGUUGAGAAACUAGUGCAACUAAUGCAACCUGAUAGUGCAGAGAAGAAAAUUGAUUUGGCUGGCCGAAUAAUGCUUGUUGAUGUAAUUGCAGUUACAGAUAGAUUUGAUUGUCUUGGACGGUUUGUACAGCUCAGGGGCUUGCCUGUAUUAGAUGAAUGGCUCCAAGAAGUCCAUAAAGGAAAGAUUGGUGAUGGUGUUAGCCCUAAGGAAAGUGACAAAUUUGUAGAGGAAUUUCUUUUGGCUCUACUUCGUGCACUAGAUAAGCUGCCUGUAAAUCUUGAUGCGCUACAGACUUGUAAUGUUGGCAAGUCUGUGAAUCAUUUACGGAGUCAUAAAAAUUCCGAAAUUCAGAAGAAAGCUAGAAGCUUAGUUGACACGUGGAAGAAACGUGUUGAAGCUGAAAUGAAUAUGAUAGAUGCAAAAUCUGGUUCAAAUCGUGGUGUUUCAUGGCCUGCCAAAUCAGUGUCUUCUGAAGGUUCUCAUGUUGGGACCAGGCGGGUGGGGGGAUCCUCUGAGGUUGGCAUCAAGAAUUCCAGCAUACAGCCUUCUGCAUCUAAAGCUCCACAAGUGAAGGUUGGUCCCGGGGAAGCUGUUUCCAAGUUUUCCCCUGUCGCAUCUCCUGGCUUAACUAAAUCACCUGCAUCGUUGACUACGGCUGCAGCUAGUAACUUGAAGGAUGCAAAUUGCAAAAUGAAUGUUGGUAGUGGAGCCUCAGAUUUGCCUCUAACAACAAUCAAAGAGGAGAGGAGCAGCAGUUCAAGUCAGUCUCAGAAUAAUAGUCAAUCCUAUUCUUCUGAUCAUGUGAGAACUGUGGGUUCUUGCAGGGAAGAUGCAAGAAGCUCCACUGCUGGGUCAGGAAGUGUGAAUAAGAUCUCUGGUGGUGGUUCUCGCCAUCGGAAAUCAAGCAAUGGCCUUUCUGGUUCCGCCAUUGCAGGAGUUCAAAAGGAAUCUGGGUUGGGAAAAUUCAGUUCAGCCAAUAAUAGGAAUUUGUCAUCUGAGAAGGUGUUACCAGCUGGAGUAACGUAUGAGAAAGUACCUGAUAUGCCUCUUGAUCAUGGAAAUAAUCAGCGGUUAAUUGUUAGAUUGCCAAACACUGGUCGUAGUCCUGCUCAAAGUGCCAGUGGGGGUUCUUUUGAGGAACCUGCUGCUACUAUUUGUAGAUCUUCCCCUCCUUCACAUUCUGAAAGGAAUGAUCACCAUGAACGAAAAUUCAGGGGAAAAAGUGAUGUUUCACGAGCUAGUAUUGUACCAAACGUGAACACGGAGUUUGGUCAGGUCAGGGAUGGAGUGGGUGGGGCUGAUGAAGCCAAUGGAUCACCUUCAGCUGUUGAUCAACACAGGGUUAGUGAGGAUUGUGAGAAACCAAUAGAUGUACCAAGAACUACUGGUUCAUCAUCAGGAAUUGCACCCAAGUCAGCGAAAUCAUAUGAUGCUUCUUUUAGCUCCAUAAAUGCCUUGAUUGAAAGUUGUGUCAAGUUCUCUGAAGCUAGUGCCUCUGCAUCAGCUGGGGAUGAUGUUGGGAUGAACCUGCUUGCCAGUGUGGCUGCUGGAGAAAUAUCCAAGCCAGAUAUUGUCUCGCCACUGGUCUCUCCCAAGAGAAAUUCACCCAUCCCAGAGGACUCUUGUUCAGGAAGUGAUGCCAAAUUGAAACAAUUGGAUGGAGCUGUUGCUCGGAGCCGCAGUCAGCCUGAUGAGGGCGUGACUGCUGGGGCUAUUGCAGUUCAGGGUGAUGCUGUUGAAUCGUCACUGGUAAAGAAUGAAUUACAACAUUCUUCUAACCCCAAGUCACCCAACUUCUCUGGUGAUGGCAGUGUCACUUUGCUUGGUUGUGAAGAGAAAAUAGGGGAACACAAGGGACAAUUGAAUUUAGUUAGUGUGGAUUUGCAGCGAAAUGCAGAUGGUCCGUGCUUGACAUCUGAUGGGAAAUCCCAUGAACUAAAAUGUGGUACUUCUGCAGGUUUAGCUUCUGGGGAUGGUACAAAAGAUGGUAAUAGGGAUAGCAUGGGAGCAAACCAGCUACAUGAGCAAAGAAAGGCAGGUGUUGUCAGGGCUGGAAGCGCCAGUAUAUUAGAUUCUAAAUUGAAGGUAAGAAGUCCCUUGCAUGAUGAAGAUAAGAAGGUUGAUUGUGCAGAUGAAAAACCUGUGGGGAAUGUUGAAGCAGCGGCAUCAGAAGGAGCAGCUGUUAUGAGUACUAAGGUUGAGAAGGAAGCUAAUGAUGAUUCACCUUCUUGCUCAUCCUCCGAAGUGAGUGGCAAGAACAAGAAUUCUAUGUAUAAUGAGUUAACUAGUGCCAUCUUAUUUGAUCAGAAGCCCCCUCCUGCAGUGAAGACUCACACUGACAUGGAGAGAAAAAGUGAGGUUGUUGUACAGCUUUCUGGCUCUGGUAAUACUGCGUGUAAGGAUUCAGAUGCUGGGAAGUGUGAUGACAUAAAGACGAGGAAUUCUGCUGAGCAGAGUGAGAAACAAAAGGUGGAUCUAGGUUCAUCUGUUUCAGAUCAGAACAGUGAGCAUGAUGAGAUGAAUUCUGAAAGAAUGGAGGUUCUUGGAAACUGUGCUGGUGGCAUAGUCCCAAAUGAAGAAUCAUCAGCAGUUUUGCAUGGAACUAAUAAGUGUGUGAAAUCAGGUGGGUCUAAGUUAGCUAGAGUUGAAGCUGAUGGGAAGGUGGAGCCUGCUUCCAGUGUGAACGCUUCUAAUGCAAGGUCAGGUAUGGUGGUAAAGCUGGACUUUGAUUUAAAUGAAGGCCUUCCUGGGGAUGAUGGUAUUCAAGGGGAUCUUAAAUCACCGGUUCCAGGAAAUUCUUCUGCUGUUCAUUUGCCUUGCCCAUUGCCAGUUCCCUAUUCUUCCAUGUCUGGGAGCUUCCCUGCUUCAAUUACUGUUGCUGCUGCUGCCAAGGGGUCAUUUGUUCCUCCUGAAAACCUUCUGAGGAGUAAGGGGGAACUUGGAUGGAAAGGAUCAGCGGCAACCAGUGCAUUUCGGCCGGCUGAGCCUAGAAGGAUUCUGGAGAUGCCACUCAGUUCAACAGAUGUUCCUCUUGCUGAUGCAAGUGUCAGCAAACAAGGCCGCGUUCCUUUGGACAUUGACCUAAAUGUGCCUGACCAGAGAACUCUAGAGGAUGUGUCAUAUCAGAAUCCUGUAAGAGUAUCCUCCUCUGAAACUGGGUCCCGUGAACGUGGUGCGGGGUUGCUUGAUCUUGAUCUGAACAGAGCCGAUGAGAGUGCUGAUAUGGCUCAGUUUGUAGCGAGCAAUGGUUGUAGAUCAGAAAUUUCAUCUUUGCCAGGGAGAUCAUCCUUAUCUGGUGGAUUUUCUAAUGGUGAAAUGAGUGUUUCAAGGGACUUUGAUUUAAACAAUGGACCUGGUCCGGAUGAAGUGGGCACAGAAAUAGCAGCACGCAGCCAUAAUGUCAAAAGCAAUGUGCCAUUCCUAUCUCCUGUUCCUGGUCUCAGAAUGAGCAGUUCUGACUUGGGAAACUUUUCAUCUUGGUUUCCUCCAGGCAACUCUUAUUCAGCCCUGACAAUUCCAUCAAUCUUGUCUGGCAGAGGAGAACAGGGUUAUCCUGUUGCUGCUGCUGCUGCUGCUGCUGGGUCACAAAGGAUUCUGGGUCCUCCUAUUGGUAGUACCACAUUUGCCCCUGAAAUCUACAGGGGCCCAGUGCUAUCAUCGUCUCCUGCAGUGGCAUAUCCACCCACCGCUCCAUUUCAAUACCCAGGAUUCCCAUUUGAGGCCAGUUUUCCUCUUUCUUCAAAUUCCUUUUCUGGCUGUUCAACAGGAUAUGCUGAUUCUUCUUCUGGUGGCCCACUUUGCUUCCCUGCAAUCCCUUCACAGUUGGUGGGGCCUGCUGGCUUAGUGUCUUCUCAUUACCCUCGUCCUUACGUUAUGAACCUUGCGGGUGGUACUAGUAACGUUGUUACUGAAAGCAAGAGAUGGGGAGGUCAGGGGCUAGAUCUCAAUGCAGGUCCUGGAACUACAGAUGUUGAGAGGAGAGAUGAGAGGAUGCCAUUAAGACAGCUUCCUGUUGCCAGUUCGCAAGCCAUGGUGGACGAACAACUGAAGAUGUAUCAACAGGUGGCGGGCGGAGUUUUGAAGAGAAAGGAACCCGAUGGUGGUUGGGAUGCAGAUAGAAGCUAUAAGCAACCCUCAGGGAAGUAGGAAUAAGAAGACAUUAUGGAACAAUGCGACAAACUUGUUAUGGCUUGGCACAAAUGCAUCUUUGAAUGGAGGGAGUGCAGAAAAUGGAGUCAUCACCAACAAUGAUUCUUUUUUGUGAUUUGUGCUGGGAGACUCCAGGAGUGGAUAAUUUAACUAGCUGGGUUCCGAACGACGGUGGCUAUAAAAGAAAGAGAGAUUUAAAGAAUUCAUUCCUCACCCACCCCACCGACCGCACACCAAUUCUAACAAACAAUUAGAAAAUGGGUGGGGACUCCCUGGAGGCGUCUGUAUUUUGAUCAAAUCUUUGUUCCGAAAGAGAGUGGCCUCUGGCAGUACAAUCCCCCUUCCCUUUUCUUUUCUUGUAGAUAUUUAACUUUGGAAAAAAGCAUAAUGUUGUUUGGCCCUGCCCUGCCCCAGAAACCCCUUCAAUUCGGUGCCCGGCUGAUGGACGCUGUGUGUCCUGUCAGCUCAAAUUCCUGCACCUGCGCGACUCCCUUAUCAAUCCUUUAUUUUGCUGGGAGAGGAUUGGAUGUAUGAACUGCCCAGGCAGAUGCCGGUUUGUAUCUUCUUUUGCUUUUCUUUUCUUUUCUUUUCCUUUUAAUUAAAUUUGUUUUUGUUACAUAAUAGUUAUUACCUCAGUCUUAAACUUCAAAAUUUUGUUAAUCAAAUUUUCAUUAUUGAGAAA
Molecule: RNA transcript, 6162 nt
Organism: Malania oleifera
Lineage: Eukaryota; Viridiplantae; Streptophyta; Magnoliopsida; Santalales; Ximeniaceae
Exons: 5
Source: RefSeq, a predicted model, not a curated record